This 1847-nucleotide non-coding RNA is filed under the name Pongo abelii (Sumatran orangutan). Lineage: Eukaryota; Metazoa; Chordata; Mammalia; Primates; Hominidae. The record is from RNAcentral.
UUCUGGGAUUGUUUUGUCUUUCAGAAAGCGCUACUGCGGAGUGAACCGAUCCUUAUAUCUUAGUUUCAUGACUUUGGGGGCGGCAGGCCUGUGAGUUGUUUUCCGCCCUGGACGCUGUUUUGCAAAGAUCUUUGCGCGCCCACCGCCACCCUCUCGGGCGUGCGGGCCGGGAAGCAGCCAGCGGUGGGAAACUCCGACGCCCUCCCCGAUACUUUUCUCCCCCCAACUCCCCAAGACUCACUUCUAGGGAAGUCCUUUUUCCCAUUAAGCCCUGGGAAAGACUGGCCAGGCUGAGAGAGGGACCCGUCCUCCUCUGUGCCAAAGGCGGGAGCAAAUCCUGGUGCUGUCGCCUUUGGAUGUGAGUCCUGGAAAUGGCGGGGGUGAGGACGGUGGGCAGGGGCAAGGUUUGGCCCUCAGGGGAGAACCGACGCCUUGUCCCGGAAGCGCAGCACGGCCGAGUGCGUCCGGGGGUGCAGACGGCGCCCUGGGGUGGUCCUGCCGCCGCCUCUCCUUUGACACCGGAGCGCUGCGCCGCGUCCGGGCGCGUUCUCAGUCGCGCGAAGCGAGAGGACCCUGGGCGUGAUUCUCCCUCCCUGGCACAGACGGAGACCCGAGUGACCCCGGGGUCCGGGUGGGCGUGGGGAAUGGACCCAUAGGCCCGGGAUGAGCGGCGCGGAGCCCGCAGCUGGCCAGCUUCAGCCACCUUGGGAGACGCAGUGCAGCUGCCGCUGCUGACAGACAAGACCAAGGCUCGGCGGGGCCCCACCCCAGAUCCGGCCUGAGCGCCUUCCGCGCUGCUCGGCCUCAGGGCGAAACUUUUUGCGCAGAAAGUCCUGGAGAACAGCCCCGGCCGCCACGUACGCCCGGACCGCAAAGCCCACAGAGCUUCAAUUCGGAGGAAGGGGAGUGGGGAGCCCUGAGCUGGGGUGUUCCUGGAGGAGGUCGGGGAGCGGGGGGAGAGGCAUUCCAGGCUGGAGGCCUGGAAACAUUUGGAAGCUUUGCUAACCUUGGAGACCAUGUCAGGAAAGAAGCGUACCCAGGCCGUCUGCGGUGUGCCCACCCGGGUCCCUAUCCGUGCCCCACGCACUCGAGCUCUUCCUCGGCGUCUCCAGCCUCUUCAUCCGCGCGGAGAGGCGGAGGUCUCCCGGAAACAGAGUCCGACCUGUGGCACCCCAGAGCGUCCAAUGCGAGCUCAGGCCUUUCCCACAAGUCUGGAGUUUUCUUAUCCAGUUGAGGCCGCCUUCGCUGUACUCACUCCCUGCCUCCCGCCCCAUCUUCUGCCACCCGACCUCCAUCUUUGAUGGUUAGCGCCUUCAGCCCUCAACAGCUUCGCACAACCAACCCCUAGAAGCCGUGGAGUCAGACCGGCCAGGGUGGGACCUAGGUUUUAACUCGGGUUCUGGCUAUACACGCUGUGCCUCCAUACAGUUUGUCCCAGAUUUGGCAGCGGGCUGGCUACCUUCAGGAACUUUUUGCUUUGGCCUCUGUCUGUUCCUGUCCCAGUUGGGCAAGUUUCUAGCUACCCCACUGAGAGAACCAUAGAACAAGGACCCUGGCAUGGCAUACAGACAAGGAAUGUUUGCUGAAUUAAUGGAGCUGGUGCCUUGCAGCUUCCCUUUUGUUCCUUGAAGUUGCCCUUGCUCUCCUCCACAUCAGCUCCCUCUCCUCCUCAGCUACUUAUUCCCCACCCUGGCUUCUUUUCGUCUCAGUCCCCAAGUAUUUGCUGAAUCCUGUAUGGACAGCCUAAGCCUCCAUUUCUGACAAUUCCUGUGGCCCCACUCCAUUUGUUUUUUAGACUUCUCCCUCCUUUUUGUCCCCAUCCCCCAAGUUAUAAAACUAUAAUGCAA